UGGGGAAUAUUGGACAAUGGGCGAAAGCCUGAUCCAGCAAUGCCGCGUGGAUGAAGAAGGUCUUCGGAUUGUAAAGUCCUUUCGGCGGGGACGAUGAUGACGGUACCCGCAGAAGAAGCCCCGGCUAACUUCGUGCCAGCAGCCGCGGUAAUACGAAGGGGGCUAGCGUUGCUCGGAAUGACUGGGCGUAAAGGGCGCGUAGGCGGCAUAUCCAGUUAGGCGUGAAAUUCCUGGGCUCAACCUGGGGACUGCGCUUAAUACAGGUAGGCUAGAGUGUGAAAGAGGGUCGUGGAAUUUCCAGUGUAGAGGUGAAAUUCGUAGAUAUUGGAAAGAACACCGGUGGCGAAGGCGGCGACCUGGUUCAUUACUGACGCUGAGGCGCGAAAGCGUGGGGAGCAAACAG
RNAcentral lists this ribosomal RNA (403 nucleotides) under uncultured bacterium. RNAcentral's name for it is "bacterial SSU rRNA". It matches the Rfam family "Bacterial small subunit ribosomal RNA", at positions 355 to 775 of the family's 1533-position model. The record is from RNAcentral.